RNAcentral lists this long non-coding RNA (237 nucleotides) under Elaeis guineensis (African oil palm). RNAcentral describes it as "long non-coding RNA (EGUI_LNC078871)". The record is from RNAcentral. Lineage: Eukaryota; Viridiplantae; Streptophyta; Magnoliopsida; Arecales; Arecaceae.
GCUUGGGAUUAGUUUUUGGCCGUCAGAUCGUGCAAAAAGUUUCCUUAACACAGUUGGGAGCAUCCUCAACCAUCCGAUCGCAUGAUAGAUUGCUUUUGGGCUAUCAGAUCGUGCAAAUCCUCUUCUUAUAAACUGACAACAAACAUGGACUAUUAGAUCUGAUGAUGGAUGAGUUUUCGGCCAUUAGAUCAUGCAAAAACCCCUCUCUCACUGUGAGCCGCACUUGUGGACUGCGUG